AGUGAACGCUGGCGGUAGACCUAACACAUGCAAGUCGAACGGCAGCACAGUAAGAGCUUGCUCUUACGGGUGGCGAGUGGCGGACGGGUGAGGAAUACAUCGGAAUCUACUUUUUCGUGGGGGAUAACGUAGGGAAACUUACGCUAAUACCGCAUACGACCUACGGGUGAAAGCAGGGGAUCUUCGGACCUUGCGCGAUUGAAUGAGCCGAUGUCGGAUUAGCUAGUUGGCGGGGUAAAGGCCCACCAAGGCGACGAUCCGUAGCUGGUCUGAGAGGAUGAUCAGCCACACUGGAACUGAGACACGGUCCAGACUCCUACGGGAGGCAGCAGUGGGGAAUAUUGGACAAUGGGCGCAAGCCUGAUCCAGCCAUACCGCGUGGGUGAAGAAGGCCUUCGGGUUGUAAAGCCCUUUUGUUGGGAAAGAAAAGCAGCAGGUUAAUACCCCGCUGUUCUGACGGUACUCAAAGAAUAAGCACCGGCUAACUUCGUG
Molecule: ribosomal RNA, 492 nt
Filed under: uncultured bacterium
Lineage: Bacteria
Description: partial 16S ribosomal RNA
Rfam family: Bacterial small subunit ribosomal RNA
Source: RNAcentral